This 366-nucleotide transfer-messenger RNA is filed under the name Ignavibacteria. Its description in RNAcentral is "JADJAH01 sp016704345 Standard tmRNA". It matches the Rfam family "transfer-messenger RNA". From Rfam's summary of the family: Bacterial tmRNA, also known as 10Sa RNA or SsrA, is named for its dual tRNA and mRNA-like properties. Its role is to liberate the mRNA from a stalled ribosome. The record is from RNAcentral. RNAcentral also lists the same sequence under 1 other name. Lineage: Bacteria; Pseudomonadati; Ignavibacteriota.
GGGAAUGCAACGGUUUCGACGGAUUGAAAGAUGUUUGGAACUGCAUAUAGUGUUGCUGCAACCACUUUAAAACUGCAGAAAAACAAUAAACAACAACAACGUAGAAUAUAACUACGCUAUGGCUGCUUAAUUAAAUAAGCAACCUUGCUUUCGGGAUUCUCUCUUAUCGGGGUUUCGAAAGCAUCAUUCAGAUAAGAUAGCCCUAAUGAGCUUCUGAGUAGUGAAGGCGAAACAAACAUCAGAAUAGCGGAAUGAAGGUAAGCCGGGCUUCCUGAGUUCCUCGAAAAUCUAAAGACCCGGAUAUAUAUGUAGACGUUCUAAUGGUCUUCUUUUCGGACCCGAGUUCGACUCUCGGCAUUUCCACUG